AACGCAUAUUGCGCCCAUUAGUAUUCUAUUGGGCAUGCCUGUUCGAGCGUCAUUUCAACCCUCAAGUUAUUAUAGCUUGGUGCUGGGGCUCUCUGUUGUACAUGUACUACAGGCCCUGAAAGACAUUGGCGAGUCCGCUGUAAACCCGAGCGUAGUAGAUUAUUCUUUUUCGCUUAGGGGCAUAUAGUGGGUAUCAGCCGUUAAAUAAUUCUUAAAAUUAAAGGUUGACCUCGGAUCAGGUAGGAAUACCCGCUGAACUUAA
Molecule: unclassified non-coding RNA, 262 nt
Filed under: uncultured fungus
Lineage: Eukaryota; Fungi
Description: sequence contains ITS2
Source: RNAcentral